RNAcentral lists this transfer RNA (70 nucleotides) under Lycodes polaris (Canadian eelpout). Its description in RNAcentral is "tRNA-Gly". It matches the Rfam family "tRNA". From Rfam's summary of the family: Transfer RNA (tRNA) molecules are approximately 80 nucleotides in length. Their secondary structure includes four short double-helical elements and three loops (D, anti-codon, and T loops). Lineage: Eukaryota; Metazoa; Chordata; Actinopteri; Perciformes; Zoarcidae. The record is from RNAcentral. RNAcentral also lists the same sequence under 8 other names.
AUCUUUCUAGUACAAAUUAGUAUAAGUGACUUCCAAUCACCCGGCCUUGGUUAGAGUCCAAGGAAAGAUA